This 467-nucleotide ribosomal RNA is filed under the name uncultured bacterium. Its description in RNAcentral is "partial 16S ribosomal RNA". It matches the Rfam family "Bacterial small subunit ribosomal RNA", at positions 28 to 506 of the family's 1533-position model. The record is from RNAcentral.
GACGAACGCUGGCGGCGUGCUUAAUACAUGCAAGUCGAACGGACAGGCCCUGCUUUUGUUGCUUUCUCGAUUGGCGAACGGGUGUGUAACACGUGUGUAACCUGCCCUUGACUUUGUGAUAACUUCAGGAAACUGGGGCUAAUACCGGAUAUGAUCUCCUGCUGCAUGUGGGUGGUUGGAAAGUUUCGGCGGUUGGGUCUGUACUCGCGGCUUAGCAGCUUGUUGGUAUGGUAGUGGAUUACAAAGGAUUUGACGGGUAGCCGGCCUGGGAGGGUGACAGGGCACAGUGGGACUGGGAUACGGCCCAGACUCCUACGGGAGGAAGGAGCGGGAAAUAGAGCAAAAUGGGCGGAAGCAUGAUGGAGGAACGCCGGGUGGGGGAAGACGGCCUUCGGGUAGUAAAACGCUUGCGAGUGAGAAGGAGCGUGAGUGACGGUAAUGGGCAAAGAAGCACGGGCUAAUUAGGU